This 433-nucleotide ribosomal RNA is filed under the name uncultured bacterium. RNAcentral's name for it is "partial 16S ribosomal RNA". It matches the Rfam family "Bacterial small subunit ribosomal RNA", at positions 29 to 507 of the family's 1533-position model. The record is from RNAcentral.
GCGAACGCUGGCGGCAGGCCUAACACAUGCAAGUCGCACGAACCUUUCGGGGUUAGUGGCGGACGGGUGAGUAACACGUGGGAACGUGCCUUUAGGUUCGGAAUAACUCAGGGAAACUUGUGCUGAUACCGAAUGUGCCCUUCGGGGGAAAGAUUAAUCGCCUUUAGAGCGGCCCGCGUCUGAUUAGCUAGUUGGUUGAGGUAAUGGCUCACCAAGGCGACGAUCAGUAGCUGGUCUGAGAGGAUGAUCAGCCACAUUGGGACUGAGACACGGCCCAAACUCCUACGGGAGGCAGCAGUGGGGAAUCUUGCGCAAUGGGCGAAAGCCUGACGCAGCCAUGCCGCGUGAAUGAUGAAGGUCUUAGGAUUGUAAAAUUCUUUCACCGGGGACGAUAAUGACGGUACCCGGAGAAGAAGCCCCGGCUAACUUCGUG